GACGAACGCUGGCGGCGUGCCUAACACAUGCAAGUCGAACGGGGUAAAGAGAGCUUGCUUUCUUUACUUAGUGGCGAACGGGUGAGUAACGCGUGAGAAACCUGCCUUUCAGUGGGGGACAACAGUUGGAAACGACUGCUAAUACCGCAUAAUGUGCCGGGAGGGCAUCCUCCUGGUACCAAAGCUUUAUGUGCUGAAAGAUGGUCUCGCGUCUGAUUAGCUAGUUGGUGAGGUAACGGCUCACCAAGGCGACGAUCAGUAGCCGGUCUGAGAGGAUGAACGGCCACAUUGGGACUGAGAUACGGCCCAG
This 310-nucleotide ribosomal RNA is filed under the name uncultured bacterium. Its description in RNAcentral is "bacterial SSU rRNA". It matches the Rfam family "Bacterial small subunit ribosomal RNA", at positions 28 to 334 of the family's 1533-position model. The record is from RNAcentral.